Molecule: long non-coding RNA, 128 nt
Organism: Aethalodelphis obliquidens (Pacific white-sided dolphin)
Lineage: Eukaryota; Metazoa; Chordata; Mammalia; Artiodactyla; Delphinidae
Exons: 3
Source: RefSeq, a predicted model, not a curated record
UGUGCCCCUUUGUCUGGCAAAGUAAUAAAGCUAUUCUUUUCUACUUCACCCAAAACUCUGUCUCCGAGAUUCAAUUCAGCACCAGUGCACAGGGGCAGAGUUUUUGGCAUCAAGCUCAAAUGUCACCU